RNAcentral lists this long non-coding RNA (2681 nucleotides) under Homo sapiens (human). RNAcentral describes it as "HSALNT0086910". Lineage: Eukaryota; Metazoa; Chordata; Mammalia; Primates; Hominidae. The record is from RNAcentral.
AAAUUACAAUAAAUGGUUCUUCCAAUUGUAAAGGUCUACCCUAGUUGACAGGCAGUUUGGGCUAUAAUAGUAAUUUUUUUUCUGUUUUAGAAGAGGUAUCCAUGACAACCAAGGAGCUGGCUCCAGCUCUCAUUUGCUCUAAGGAGUUGAUGCCAUGAGUUUGGCAUUCAAUUCUCAAUGCUGUACUUAGAAGGACACAAAUUCACUGACAUCUGUCUAAUAGGAAUGGUAGAUGAUUUUGAAAGCGAAAUCUGUGAGGAACAAUUUAAAUUCUUAGAAGAAAAGGAGUUGUGGGAGCCAUCUAGCUGAUUUGAAAUAUUUAAAGACCUGUCAUAUGGAAGAGGAAUGUGAUUAAUCUUGAGUGUCCUCAAAGACAGAACUAGUAUUAAUGGAUAGAUGUGAGGUGAAGGCAAAUUAGUUUAACAGAAAGAAAUUGUGGACAGCCACACUUGUGCAAAAGUGAUUCAUAACUUAGGACACUUUUCCUCAUUGGAGGUAUUCAGGCUGGAGAAUACUCUGUACCAAGGCCACUGCCCCAGAUUGAAUUUGUCCUACUGUAGUGGAAUUGAGAAUGAAUAACAGGGAAUGGUUCCUAGAGCGUGAAGGACCAUUUGCUGCUCUGAGAAGUAUUAUUUCUUGUUAUAAACUGUUGUGUUAAGGAGCACACAGUGCCUAUAUUAAUUUUUAAGGGCUGCUGUAACAAAGUAUCACAAACAGGGUGGCUUCAAAUGACAGAAACUUAUUGUUUCACAGUUCUAGAGGUUGGAUGUCCAAAGUCAAGUUGUUGGUGGGGCCAUGCUCCCGAAACCUGUACAGAAGAAUUCUUCCUUGCCUGUUCCUAGCUUCUGAAAAUUGCCAUCAACCUUUGUCAUUCCUUGGCUUUCAACUGUAUCACUCCAAUCUCUACCUCUGUUGUUACAUGCCUUUCCUCUUGUCAUAAGGACACUAGUCAUGUUUGAUUAGGGUCUCCCCUAAUGAUUUCAUCUUGACUACAUCUACAAAGACCCUAUGUCCAAAUAAGAUCACCUUCACAGGUACCAGUGUUAAGACUUCAACAUAUCUUUUUGGAGGACACAAUUCAACCUAUAAGUGUUCCAAGGAGAGUGACAAUUCUGCACUUUGAUUCUCCACCUGGCUCUGUCUCUGCCAUACUUAAUUAUCUAAGGAAGACAACUCACCUCUUGGAACUUCAGUUGCUGUUUCUGUAAGAUGAGAGCAAUGCCUUUCUUUGGCUUUGGAUCUAUGUGAACAUACAAAGCAUUAACAAAUGGACAUGAACUCUGAAAAACUCUCAUAUGUGGAUGCCUUCAAUGCAGUUCACUCUGUAUAUGUACAUCUCCAAAUUAUAACUCUUUUUUCUUUUGAGCAAAUUAAAGCAAGAAGUGCUUUAUUUCUAACACAUAGGAAAGUCUCGGUCACCACAGGCCAAAAGGCGGGAUUGACAGUAAGAACAUGAAAAACAACACAGAUGUAUUUCAUUUUGGAGGAGUCUGGGAAAAUGAACUAACUUAGUCAACAUGAUCUACUCAGUCCAUAUGAGGAAAAGAAAACACACACACACACAAACACACACACAAAAUUACAAUUUACUCUAAAAUUUCUGAUCAAUUUGUCGCUGUGCAGUCACUUUGUUCCCACAAUAUCUUAUUCAAAGACUUUCUGGUGACCUAAAUCUGUCAUUUUCUCCUAAGAGUACCUGUUUUCUAUCUUGUCUUUGGGCUCCAGCUACUCUUUACGUUCACUGUUGAUUACCAUCAGUGAUAAUUUGGGGUGACAAGCAACAUGUUUCCAAACAAAGGGGAUGAAUGGCUCGGCAUUUGAGAAAGACUAAAAAAAAAAUAGGUCUGAAACGAUGCAAACUGGGAUAAUGUAUUCUCAAAGGCUUAAAGUAAUGGAUACGAAUCAAGAGUGGCAACAGAAAUCUUGAAAAUGAACAAAGAAGAACUCAUAUUUUCUGAUUUUGAAGUGUAUUUCAAAGCUAAAGCAAUCAAGACAGUGUGGAACUGGCAUAAAGACAGACAUAGAGAUCAAUGAAAUUGAAUUGAGAGGCCAGAAAUAGACUCUUACAUUAAUAGCCAAUUGAUUUCCAACAAAGCUGCUAAGAUAAUAUGAAGAGAGAAAUAAUGGUCUUUUUAACAAAUGGUGCUGGGACAGUGGAAUAGUCACAUGCAAAAGAGUGAAAUUGGACAUCUGGUUCAUGUCAUAUACAAAAAUUAAGUAAAAAUGGAUCACAGACCUAAAUGUUAAAAAGCUAACUCUAUAAAACUGUUAGAAGAAAGCAUGGGAUGAAACCUCUGUGACUUUGGGUUAGGAAAUGGUUUUAUUUAUUUAUUUAUUUAUUCAUUUAUAAUAAUUAUUAAUAUUUUUAAGUGACAAAUCAUAAUUUAUACAUUUACAGGGUAGAAUGUGAUGUUUUGAUAUAGGUACCCAAUGUGGCAUGAUUAAAUCCUAUCUAUCACCUCAACUACCUGUCAUUUUUUAUGGUCAAACAUUUGAAAUUUAGUUUCUCAAUUAUUUUGAAAUAUAUAACACAUUAUUAUUGAUAAUAGCCACACUGAUGUGCACUAGACAUUAAAAUCUAUUGCACUUGUCUAUCCAAAACCUUGUACCCUUUGAUCAAGAACUCCCCAUUCCCUCUCUCUCCACCAGCCCAUCCCCAAGCCUCUGGUAAUCAUUGUUCU